GCUUAUCAUUACUUAUAAACUGCAGUUUUCACUAAAGAAAUAGGGAUAACAUUACAAAGCAUUAAGAAAUAACUCUUACCAAGUCAGAACCACACCAAUGGCAAAAGCACAUGAUCACAAACCGCUAAAUAUUGGACAAAGACCAAAACCCUGAGCAUGGGAGAGGCUGAAAGCACAAUGAAAAACACUUCAAGUUAAGGAUGAGUGAAAGAAGCUGACGUGGAAGCCAGGGAUACUAAUGGCAGGCAUUAUUUUCCAGAAAGGUCCUGGAUCACGCUGAGUUUUUACUGCAAGAAACCUAUGAAAAGUACCCAUUACUAAUAGCACUCAGCAAAGGUGAUCUACCCCAACCAGACAAAGCUGUGUGCCAUUUCCAAGAUGUUGCUGGCACUCGAACUUUCACUCAAGGUGUCUUACAUACCUUCUCCUCACUCUCAUUCAGAAUGUGCUUCCACAUUCUAUGCGCUCAGACUUCAAAAUCUCACCAACUUCAACAUCCAGGAGAAUAGAAGAGAUGGAAAUAAAGGAGGCAAGAAUGGUUUACAGAUCCAGCUGAAACCGAAUGGAAGGAAAGGCAGUGGAUUUCAUCAAGAUCCUACAGACAAGGUGUAAGAUCUGUAAUUUCGAAAGGACAUAUACACAAACUCAUUCAGCCACAUUCCAGUCUAGAAUUAACAUGAAGAAAAUCUAUUAACAAUGGUAAAGCUUUUUUCCUCUCCAAAUGAAUAUGGCAAUACCCAUUCUGGAGAACUCUUAUUCUCUGUUGAAAUAACACCACUUUUCUAUAUGGCCAUCUAGCAAUAAAUAUAAAAAUGGUUAAUUUGCA
This 826-nucleotide long non-coding RNA is filed under the name Homo sapiens (human). RNAcentral's name for it is "HSALNT0389351". The record is from RNAcentral. Lineage: Eukaryota; Metazoa; Chordata; Mammalia; Primates; Hominidae.